This 499-nucleotide ribosomal RNA is filed under the name uncultured bacterium. Its description in RNAcentral is "partial 16S ribosomal RNA". It matches the Rfam family "Bacterial small subunit ribosomal RNA", at positions 28 to 507 of the family's 1533-position model. The record is from RNAcentral.
GACGAACGCUGGCGGCGUGCCUAAUACAUGCAAGUCGAGCGGACCAAACAGGAGCUUGCUCUUGUUUGGUUAGCGGCGGACGGGUGAGUAACACGUGGGUAACCUGCCCGUAAGACCGGGAUAACUCCGGGAAACCGGAGCUAAUACCGGAUAACACCGAAGACCGCAUGGUCUUUGGUUGAAAGGCGGCUUCGGCUGCCACUUACGGAUGGGCCCGCGGCGCAUUAGGUAGUUGGUGAGGUAACGGCUCACCAAGGCGACGAUGCGUAGCCGGCCUGAGGGGGUGACCGGCCAAACUGGGAAUGAGACACGGCCCAGACUCCUACGGGAGGCAGCAGUAGGGAAUCUUCCGCCAUGGACGAAAGGCUGACGGAGCGACGCCGCGUGAGCGAAGAAGGUCUUCGGAUCGUAAAGCUCUGUUGUUAGGGAAGAAGAAGCGCCGUUCGAACAGGGCGGCGCGGUGACGGUACCUAACGAGAAAGCCCCGGCUAACUACGUG